RNAcentral lists this ribosomal RNA (253 nucleotides) under uncultured bacterium. Its description in RNAcentral is "partial 16S ribosomal RNA". It matches the Rfam family "Archaeal small subunit ribosomal RNA", at positions 474 to 727 of the family's 1478-position model. The record is from RNAcentral.
UACCAGCACCCCGAGUGGUCGGGACGUUUAUUGGGCCUAAAGCAUCCGUAGCCGGUUCUACAAGUCUUCCGUUAAAUCCAACUGCUUAACAGGUGGGCUGCGGAAGAUACUAUAGAGCUAGGAGGCGGGAGAGGCAAGCGGUACUCGAUGGGUAGGGGUAAAAUCCACUGAUCCAUUGAAGACCACCAGUGGCGAAGGCGGCUUGCCAGAACGCGCUCGACGGUGAGGGAUGAAAGCUGGGGGAGCAAACCGG